RNAcentral lists this ribosomal RNA (499 nucleotides) under uncultured bacterium. RNAcentral's name for it is "bacterial SSU rRNA". It matches the Rfam family "Bacterial small subunit ribosomal RNA", at positions 29 to 507 of the family's 1533-position model. The record is from RNAcentral.
AACGAACGCUGGCGGCGUGCUUAACACAUGCAAGUCGAACGCGAAAGGGACUUCGGUCCUGAGUAAAGUGGCGCACGGGUGAGUAACGCGUAGAUAACCUGUCUUCGAGUCUGGAAUAAUACACCGAAAGGGGUACUAAUACCGGAUAUUCUUGCAUUUCAUAAGGAGUGUAAGCAAAGGUGGCCUCUGCAUAUGCUACUGCUUGAUGAGGGGUCUGCGUACCAUUAGCUAGUAGGUGGGGUAAUGGCCCACCUAGGCUACGAUGGUUAGCGGGUCUGAGAGGAUGAUCCGCCACACUGGCACUGGAACACGGGCCAGACUCCUACGGGAGGCAGCAGUGAGGAAUAUUGCGCAAUGGGGGCAACCCUGACGCAGCGACGCCGCGUGAGUGAGGAAGGCCUUCGGGUCGUAAAGCUCUGUCAAAGGGAAAGAAAUGUAUAAUGGCUAAUACCUGUUAUAUUUGACGGUACCCUUAAAGGAAGCACCGGCUAACUCCGUG